AUUGAACGCUGGCGGCAUGCUUUACACAUGCAAGUCGAGCGGCAGCGCGGGGGCAACCCUGGCGGCGAGCGGCGAACGGGUGAGUAAUGCAUCGGAACGUAUCCUCGAGUGGGGGAUAACCCAGCGAAAGUGGGGCUAAUACCGCAUGAGCUCUGAGGAGGAAAGCGGGGGACCUGCGAGGGCCUCGCGCUGGAGGAGCGGCCGAUGUCCGAUUAGCUAGUUGGUGGGGUAAAGGCUUACCAAGGCGACGAUCGGUAGCUGGUCUGAGAGGAUGAUCAGCCACACUGGGACUGAGACACGGCCCAGACUCCUACGGGAGGCAGCAGUGGGGAAUGUUGGACAAUGGGGGCAAGCCUGAUCCAGCCAUGCCGCGUGAGUGAAGAAGGUCUUCGGGUUGUAAAGCUCUUUCGGACGGAACGAAAUGGAGGGGACUAAUACUCCGGUCUGAUGACGGUACCGUAAGAAGAAGCACCGGCUAACUACGUG
Molecule: ribosomal RNA, 486 nt
Filed under: uncultured bacterium
Lineage: Bacteria
Description: partial 16S ribosomal RNA
Rfam family: Bacterial small subunit ribosomal RNA
Source: RNAcentral